CCUACUGGUGGCAGCAGUGAGGAAUAUUGGUCAAUGGGCGCGAGCCUGAACCAGCCAAGUAGCGUGAAGGAUGACUGCCCUACGGGUUGUAAACUUCUUUUAUAAAGGAAUAAAGUGAGGCAAGUGUGCCUUUUUGUAUGUACUUUAUGAAUAAGGAUCGGCUAACUCCGUGCCAGCAACCGCGGUAAUACGGAGGAUCCGAGCGUUAUCCUGAUUUAUUGGGGUUAAAGGGAACUUAGAUGGGUUUUUAAGUCAGUUGUGAAAUUUUGCGGCUCAACCGUAAAAUUGCAAUUGAUACUGGCAGCCUUGAGUACAGUUGAGGUAGGCGGAAUUCGUGGUGUAGCGGUGAAAUGCUUAGAUAUCACGAAGAACUCCGAUUGCGAAGGCAGCCUACUAAACUGCCACUGACAUUGAUGCUCGAAAGUGUGGGUAUCAAACAGGAUUAGAUACCCUAGUAGUC
This 460-nucleotide ribosomal RNA is filed under the name uncultured bacterium. RNAcentral describes it as "partial 16S ribosomal RNA". It matches the Rfam family "Bacterial small subunit ribosomal RNA", at positions 338 to 795 of the family's 1533-position model. The record is from RNAcentral.